AGAGUUUGAUCAUGGCUCAGAGCGAACGCUGGCGGCAGGCUUAACACAUGCAAGUCGAGCGGGCGUAGCAAUACGUCAGCGGCAGACGGGUGAGUAACGCGUGGGAACGUACCUUUUGGUUCGGAACAACACAGGGAAACUUGUGCUAAUACCGGAUAAGCCCUUACGGGGAAAGAUUUAUCGCCGAAAGAUCGGCCCGCGUCUGAUUAGCUAGUUGGUGGGGUAACGGCUCACCAAGGCGACGAUCAGUAGCUGGUCUGAGAGGAUGAUCAGCCACAUUGGGACUGAGACACGGCCCAAACUCCUACGGGAGGCAGCAGUGGGGAAUAUUGGACAAUGGGCGCAAGCCUGAUCCAGCCAUGCCGCGUGAGUGAUGAAGGCCCUAGGGUUGUAAAGCUCUUUUGUGCGGGAAGAUAAUGACGGUACCGCAAGAAUAAGCCCCGGCUAACUUCGUGCCAGCAGCCGCGGUAAUACGAAGGGGGCUAGCGUUGCUCGGAAUCACUGGGCGUAAAGGGUGCGUAGGCGGGUCUUUAAGUCAGGGGUGAAAUCCUGGAGCUCAACUCCAGAACUGCCUUUGAUACUGAGGAUCUUGAGUUCGGGAGAGGUGAGUGGAACUGCGAGUGUAGAGGUGAAAUUCGUAGAUAUUCGCAAGAACACCAGUGGCGAAGGCGGCUCACUGGCCCGAUACUGACGCUGAGGCACGAAAGCGUGGGGAGCAAACAGGAUUAGAUACCCUAGUAGUCC
Molecule: ribosomal RNA, 744 nt
Filed under: uncultured bacterium
Lineage: Bacteria
Description: bacterial SSU rRNA
Rfam family: Bacterial small subunit ribosomal RNA
Source: RNAcentral